Molecule: unclassified non-coding RNA, 330 nt
Filed under: soil metagenome
Description: partial contains 5.8S ribosomal RNA, internal transcribed spacer 2, and large subunit ribosomal RNA
Rfam family: 5.8S ribosomal RNA (bases 1-120)
Source: RNAcentral
GAUGAAGAACGUAGCGAAAUGCGAUAAGUAAUGUGAAUUGCAGAAUUCAGUGAAUCAUCGAAUCUUUGAACGCACAUUGCGCCCCCUGGUAUUCCGGGGGGCAUGCCUGUUCGAGCGUCAUUUCACCACUCAAGCCUCGCUUGGUAUUGGGCAACGCGGUCCGCCGCGUGCCUCAAAUCGACCGGCUGGGUCUUCUGUCCCCUAAGCGUUGUGGAAACUUUCGCUAAAGGGUGUUCGGGAGGCUACGCCGUAAAACAACCCCAUUUCUAAGGUUGACCUCGCAUCAGGUAGGGAUACCCGCUGAACUUAAGCAUAUCAAUAAGCGGAGGA